Molecule: ribosomal RNA, 727 nt
Filed under: uncultured bacterium
Lineage: Bacteria
Description: bacterial SSU rRNA
Rfam family: Bacterial small subunit ribosomal RNA
Source: RNAcentral
AACAGGAUUAGAUACCCUGGUAGUCCACGCCGUAAACGAUGUCGACUUGGAGGUUGUUCCCUUGAGGAGUGGCUUCCGGAGCUAACGCGUUAAGUCGACCGCCUGGGGAGUACGGCCGCAAGGUUAAAACUCAAAUGAAUUGACGGGGGCCCGCACAAGCGGUGGAGCAUGUGGUUUAAUUCGAUGCAACGCGAAGAACCUUACCUACUCUUGACAUCCACGGAAUUUGGCAGAGAUGCCUUAGUGCCUUCGGGAACCGUGAGACAGGUGCUGCAUGGCUGUCGUCAGCUCGUGUUGUGAAAUGUUGGGUUAAGUCCCGCAACGAGCGCAACCCUUAUCCUUUGUUGCCAGCGAUUCGGCCGGGAACUCAAAGGAGACUGCCGGUGAUAAACCGGAGGAAGGUGGGGAUGACGUCAAGUCAUCAUGGCCCUUACGAGUAGGGCUACACACGUGCUACAAUGGCGCAUACAAAGAGAAGCGACCUCGCGAGAGCAAGCGGACCUCAUAAAGUGCGUCGUAGUCCGGAUCGGAGUCUGCAACUCGACUCCGUGAAGUCGGAAUCGCUAGUAAUCGUGGAUCAGAAUGCCACGGUGAAUACGUUCCCGGGCCUUGUACACACCGCCCGUCACACCAUGGGAGUGGGUUGCAAAAGAAGUAGGUAGCUUAACCUUCGGGAGGGCGCUUACCACUUUGUGAUUCAUGACUGGGGUGAAGUCGUAACAAGGUA